Molecule: long non-coding RNA, 539 nt
Organism: Sinocyclocheilus anshuiensis
Lineage: Eukaryota; Metazoa; Chordata; Actinopteri; Cypriniformes; Cyprinidae
Exons: 3
Source: RefSeq, a predicted model, not a curated record
CGGCACCCAUUCACUGCAGAGGAUCCAUUGGUAAUUGCAACACAUGCCAAGUGUAUAGUUUCAUCACAUCAAAACACUGGGAAUGAUUAGGAAUGAUUUUGGGUCUUUCCAGCAGCCACUCAUUUCUGUCUUCCACCGAUGACCCAGCGAGGGGCCAGACACGAGAUGAUUGUUUGUGGCAUUGAUGUAACGUCUAGAAGAGCUUCAGUCUGUAAUUAUGUGAAGUGCUCAUGAAGGAGACAGACACGGUGAAGAUGAAUGUUCCCCGGCGCAAAGUCUGAUGAAAAAUCGUCUCUGUAAAUAUAAGCUGUAACCAUAAAAGCAUUCAGAAACAUUCAAACCAAAGAUCUGAUGAAGCUUCUCCGUAUUGAUUCGGGAGGUUCUCGCCAGCUCGAGUUUCUCCAGCCUGAGCGUUAAACAAUAGCAGCGUUUAUGUGGUUAACUCCUGCAUAACUCUUGCAUCAAAUACUGCAGAUACUUGCAUGACCAAUACUUAUUUAUACUGUAAUUUUACUGAGCUUAGUCUUUAUUUACUUUCA